UCCCUGGAAGACUAGUGGUUAGGACUCGGCUCUCAUCACCGUGGCCCGGGUUCGAUUGCCGGCCAGGGAA
This is a non-coding RNA of Pangasius djambal, 70 nucleotides long. Lineage: Eukaryota; Metazoa; Chordata; Actinopteri; Siluriformes; Pangasiidae. The record is from the annotation of a GenBank genome assembly.